ACCCGCACAAGCAGCGGAGCGUGUGGUUUAAUUCGAUGCUACACGAAGAACCUUACCAAGGUUUGACAUGCAAGUGGUAGUGAUCUGAAAAGUGAACGACCCUUCGGGGAGCUUGCACAGGUGCUGCAUGGCUGUCGUCAGCUCGUGUCGUGAGAUGUUCGGUUAAGUCCGCUAACGAGCGCAACCCUCACUGUGUGUUAUACGUGUCACACGGGACUGCCGGUUUUUAAGCCGGAGGAAGGCGAGGAUGACGUCAAGUCAGCAUGGCCUUUAUAUCUUGGGCUACACACACGCUACAAUGGUCUGUACAAUAGGUUGCCAAGCCGCGAGGCGGAGCCAAUCCCAAAAAGCCGUUCUCAGUUCGGAUUGGAGUCUGCAACUCGACUCCAUGAAGUUGGAAUCGCUAGUAAUCGUGGAUCAGCAUGCCACGGUGAAUACGUUCCCGGGCCUU
Molecule: ribosomal RNA, 451 nt
Filed under: uncultured Anaerolineaceae bacterium
Lineage: Bacteria; Bacillati; Chloroflexota; Anaerolineae; Anaerolineales; Anaerolineaceae
Description: bacterial SSU rRNA
Rfam family: Bacterial small subunit ribosomal RNA
Source: RNAcentral